RNAcentral lists this ribosomal RNA (772 nucleotides) under Xylariomycetidae sp. genotype 238. RNAcentral describes it as "eukaryotic LSU rRNA". The stretch from base 488 to 772 matches the Rfam family "Eukaryotic large subunit ribosomal RNA", at positions 1 to 289 of the family's 3401-position model. The record is from RNAcentral. Lineage: Eukaryota; Fungi; Ascomycota; Sordariomycetes.
UUACAGAGUGUAAAAACUCCCAAACCCUUUGUGAACAUACCACUGUUGCCUCGGCGGAGCUGCCCGGCAGCUACCCUGUAGCUGCCCCGUAGCCGCCGGCGGACCACCAAACUCUGAUUAUGUAGAUAUCUGAGCGUACUUUUAAAUAAGUCAAAACUUUCAACAACGGAUCUCUUGGUUCUGGCAUCGAUGAAGAACGCAGCGAAAUGCGAUAAGUAAUGUGAAUUGCAGAAUUCAGUGAAUCAUCGAAUCUUUGAACGCACAUUGCGCCCAUUAGUACUCUAGUGGGCAUGCCUGUUCGAGCGUCAUUUCAACCCUCAAGCCCGGCUUGGUAUUGGGAGCCUACGUGCGGCAGCUACCCUGUAGCUACCCUGUAGCUCCUUAAAGACAACGGCGGAGACGUGGAGUCCUCUGAGCUUAGUAACUUUUUUCUAGCUUCUGAAGGCGCCGCGGCCCCUGCCGUAAAACCCCCAACUUUUUUAGUGGUUGACCUCGGAUCAGGUAGGAUUACCCGCUGAACUUAAGCAUAUCAAUAAGCGGAGGAAAAGAAACCAACAGGGAUUGCCUUAGUAACGGCGAGUGAAGCGGCAACAGCUCAAAUUUGAAAGCUGGCCUUCGGGUCCGCGUUGUAAUUUGUAGAGGAUGCUUUUGGUAAGGUGCCUUACGAGUUCCCUGGAACGGGACGCCUUAGAGGGUGAGAGCCCCGUACGUUUGGUUACCGAGCCUCUGUAAAGCUCCUUCGACGAGUCGAGUAGUUUGGGAAUGCUGCUCU